RNAcentral lists this ribosomal RNA (433 nucleotides) under uncultured crenarchaeote. Its description in RNAcentral is "bacterial SSU rRNA". It matches the Rfam family "Archaeal small subunit ribosomal RNA", at positions 850 to 1278 of the family's 1478-position model. The record is from RNAcentral. Lineage: Archaea; Thermoproteati; Thermoproteota.
UGAAACUUAAAGGAAUUGGCGGGGGAGCACCACAAGGGGCUGAAGCCCUGCGGUUCAAUUGGAGUCAACGCCAGGCAAUCUUACCCGGAGAGACAGCAGAAUGAAGGUCAAGCUGAAGACUUUACCAGACAAGCUGAGAGGUGGUGCAUGGCCGUCGCCAGCUCGUGCCGUGAGAUGUCCUGUUAAGUCAGGUAACGAGCGAGAUCCCUACCUCUAGUUGCCACCAGUAUUCUCUGGAAUAGUGGGGCGAAUUAGCGGGACUGCCGUAGUUAAUACGGAGGAAGGAAGGGGCCACGGCAGGUCAGUAUGCCCCGAAACUCUGGGGCCACACGCGGGCUGCAAUGGUAGUGACAAUGGGCUCCGAAUCCGAAAGGAGGAGGUAAUCCUCAAACGUUACCACAGUUAUGACUGAGGGCUGCAACUCGCCCUCACG